GGAUGAUGUGGUUUAAUUCGAUGCAACGCGAAAACCUUACCACCUUUGACAUGUUACGGAAUCCUUUAGAGAUAGAGGAGUGCUCGAAAGAGAGCCGUAACACAGGUGCUGCAUGGCCGUCGUCAGCUCGUGUCGUGAGAUGUUGGGUUAAGUCCCGCAACGAGCGCAACCCUUGUCAUUAGUUGCUACAUUCAGUUGGGCACUCUAAUGAGACUGCCGGUGACAAACCGGAGGAAGGUGGGGAUGACGUCAAGUCCUCAUGGCCCUUAUAGGUGGGGCUACACACGUCAUACAAUGGAUGGUACAAAGGGUCGCCAACCCGCGAGGGGGAGCCAAUCCCAUAAAGCCAUUCGUAGUCCGGAUCGCAGUCUGCAACUCGACUGCGUGAAGUCGGAAUCGCUAGUAAUCGUGGAUCAGAAUGUCACGGUGAAUACGUUCCCGGGUCUU
This 447-nucleotide ribosomal RNA is filed under the name uncultured Acidovorax sp. RNAcentral describes it as "bacterial SSU rRNA". It matches the Rfam family "Bacterial small subunit ribosomal RNA", at positions 934 to 1382 of the family's 1533-position model. The record is from RNAcentral. Lineage: Bacteria; Pseudomonadati; Pseudomonadota; Betaproteobacteria; Burkholderiales; Comamonadaceae.